AUUUUUCUACAUUGCACGUGAAUCUACUUUAUGAUGUUGUUCUCUUUACUUUAAGAAAUAAUAUAUCUUGUCAUUGGUUGGCUAAAAAAAAAAAAAAAAAAAAGAAAGCAAGAAGAUGAUAAGAGUCAUAAAGAUUGGUUCCCCGUAAAACAUGGGUGCAAAAUUUUCUUGUAUGGGACCUUUCCUUUCUAAUAAUUUUAUGGCAUUAUUGCUAAGCCAGCUGCCAAAGAGAAUUAUUUUCUCCUUAUAUAACAUUAGUAUGGCCAUAAGAGAGUAAGAGAAAACUCAGAUUUAAGUUAGAAAAUACUUUUACGUUUGUGAAGGAGAGCAAGUAAGAGUGACAGCCUAGGAGUAUCAAGAGUGAAGAAAUCCUUGCAGGAGAAGAGAUGAUAGUGCAGAUAAUAUUGGAACGGAGUAGCUCGACGAGAGUGCUGGGGAAUAAAAUUUAUCGGGUUUUCUUUAUGAUGUAUUUACUAGUGUGUUGAAUUCUAUCGUUGUAAAAGACUAUUUAUAAUCACUUCGAUACGGUGUAAAAGCGUAUAGUGUGUUUAUGAAUUUGCUUCCGCAUUUUAAAUAAGAAUAAACAUGUUGGGAUUUGAAUA
Vigna radiata var. radiata (mung bean) is the source of this 602-nucleotide long non-coding RNA. RefSeq lists it as uncharacterized. Lineage: Eukaryota; Viridiplantae; Streptophyta; Magnoliopsida; Fabales; Fabaceae. The transcript has 2 exons. The record is from RefSeq and is a predicted model, not a curated record.